UUGAACGCUGGCGGCAGGCCUCACACAUGCAAGUCGAGCGGAUGAAGGGAGCUUGCUCCUGGAUUCAGCGGCGGACGGGUGAGUAAUGCCUAGGAAUCUGCCUGGUAGUGGGGGAUAACGUCCGGAAACGGGCGCUAAUACCGCAUACGUCCUGAGGGAGAAAGUGGGGGAUCUUCGGACCUCACGCUAUCAGAUGAGCCUAGGUCAGAUUAGCUAGUUGGUGGGGUAAAGGCCUACCAAGGCGACGAUCCGUAACUGGUCUGAGAGGAUGAUCAGUCACACUGGAACUGAGACACGGUCCAGACUCCUACGGGAGGCAGCAGUGGGGAAUAUUGGACAAUGGGCGAAAGCCUGAUCCAGCCAUGCCGCGUGUGUGAAGAAGGUCUUCGGAUUGUAAAGCACUUUAAGUUGGGAGGAAGGGCAGUAAGUUAAUACCUUGCUGUUUUGACGUUACCAACAGAAUAAGCACCGGCUAACUUCGUG
RNAcentral lists this ribosomal RNA (483 nucleotides) under uncultured bacterium. RNAcentral's name for it is "partial 16S ribosomal RNA". It matches the Rfam family "Bacterial small subunit ribosomal RNA", at positions 30 to 507 of the family's 1533-position model. The record is from RNAcentral.